Molecule: long non-coding RNA, 2666 nt
Organism: Tribolium castaneum (red flour beetle)
Lineage: Eukaryota; Metazoa; Arthropoda; Insecta; Coleoptera; Tenebrionidae
Exons: 2
Source: RefSeq, a predicted model, not a curated record
UGGAGCCUAAACCGUUGACGAUAGAGAUAUGGUCUCGCAAAGUUUUUUGAAAGAAAUACUCUACAAUUUUUUUUUACAUUUUUUUGUGUCUUUAACCAUAUUUGCAGCGUUUUAAAAAAUAUGGGACAAAGCGCAAAUUUUAAAUUUUAAAUAAUUUUUUUUCAUGUUUCUUAUAAAAAUUUUAGACAGCAGUUUUAGUCAUUCUGUUAAGAGUGCAAAGCUCAACAUUUUUGCAUUUUUUCCAAGAAUUGGUAAAAUAGUUGAAUUUAAAUUAAUUUUAAAUGCUUUUUUUAUUUUUACUCUGCCGUACUAUUUAUUUGGGUUCAGAAAAAUUGUAUCUCGUUUUGUCUCCUAAGAUAUAGUCCUCCCUACGUAGCUUAAACCUUAUAGACUUUGAGUUUUAUUUUUUCUAUUUCACUUGUAUAAGUUUUUUUGUUAAGGCUGGGACUCGAUAAUAAUAUUUGGGAAUCAUUGUUUACUAGUGUUUACAAUUUCAAGUUUAGAAAUAACAAUUUUAAGAAUGGAAGACAUAAUAGGAAGUCCGAUUAGUUUCACUAAGAGAUUAUUUCUGUGCUUUACUGUUUUUACAACUUGUGUGUUUCAAGUCUAAGAAUUGUAUAUCUAUAAAGUGAGACAAGCACUGCAAACUGGGGAAAACAACGGUCAGUUAUAUAAAAUUUUAUUGCUCUAUUAAUUAAUUUCUCCGCUUGCGCUAUGUUUUUGCGAUAAUUUAAUUAAACAGUUUGUUUUUAAUUUGUUUAUGUGUCAUAAAUCAUAAUUGGAGACCCAAAGUUCUAUUUAUAGCUGAUCUCUUUGUGUAAGUGUAACCCAUCCAUAAUCCUUCCCAGCUGUUUAUCUCAAGCAAAAGUAGUCUUUUGCAAAAUCAUUGCUUUGUUUUUUUUUCUUUUAACUCUUUAAUAUUUCCCCGAAUUGAUAAAAUUAUUUUCAAUUAGAUUAAAUCAAUUAAAACAAAUCCACUCGGCACAUAAUUGAUAACCACUGAAUUUGACAAGCCGUCAGCGCAUCCUCCAUCACUCCCAACACCUUGAAGUAUAAAUAAUACCCCGUCCCAUAUUUGAAAAAAACAUAUUUUCCAUAGAAAAAUAAGUUGCAAAACUCUCAAGUUCAAUAACCGUCGUUAAAAACAAGUGCGACGAUAAGUUGUGACCUGCAAAUCGAAAUUGGCUAGGUGUCAAGCCCUCGUGUCGCACAUGCAUGGCCGAUCAAAGGGCCAAUUAUCGCAAACAUUUCGUUAAACAUUGGCAAUGCUAAUGAGCUACUAACUGGCCGUGUUAACGGAUCGACAUGGACGUGUGCCACAUCAAUAGGUGGCUGGGAUUAAUUUUGUGACGUCAUUACACACCUAACAUUACCGUUAUAGGGUUUUUCGAUCGCAAUUAUUGUAAUUUGGGAGUUAAGCUGUCAGCUGUCUUACUUAUUGCUUAUCCCCUGUCACUUCUUAGAAUUCUGCCGUUGGGAUUAAUAAUAGGGAUUAAGUCAUGUGAUCCGGAUUUUGCUAGAUCUCACGUUCGUUCUUUUGUAGCUACAAUGGUCUGAAAGGUUCCACUCUCCCCUAUCUAGUUUUUUUAACAGGCGGUAAUACUAAAGUAAUUUAUUGACUAAAAUAUUGGAAAAUUUUAUAAUUAUAAUGAAUGAUAAGUAGAACGGUUCUUUUAUGUAGCCGUAUCAAAGUGGAAUAUUUAAUCCAAUUAAGCGCUCUCGGAUUUGUUUUAUUAUAUCAAUACUUCAUCACCUUUAUUGACAGAUACGGUUGUAAAAACAAUACAUAAAGUUGCAAUCAUUUGUUUUUGUUAGCCUUUUAACAAGGUAAAGUUUGUUACAAAAUUUUGGCAUUGGAAUUAAAAAUUUCAAGAACAGUCGUAAACCCGUGCAGGUUUCCACCCCUUUAUCUCCUCGAACCGCCUGUAUCCAGCUCGCGCCGCUACUCACCGGCCUUGCAGGGGUCCAGGUCCUGGUCGUCGGAGACCUUCUUCGGGAAGGUGGUGGAGAGGAGGUCCUCGACGGUGAACCGCUUAGUCCUGUUAUCACAGUUCGCGGCACGCAAGACACACAACAAACUGAUAAAGGCCGCCACACACUGCAUGCUUCCGACGCGAACACUGGACUAGGGUGAAAUCACAUCGUUUUUCGAAUGGAAGCGCUGGGUUUAUGGCAUUAUCAGAGAUGUUUGGCCAAGCGGACAAAGAUCACUUGCGCGACUCGUGCCUGCAUUUCCCUCCUGAAGACGACGACAACUGGAACAGUGGAUCGCAGUCAGAUAUUUGAGCGAGAUAACAGCGUUACGUGUCAAUUCAUACUGAUUUAUUUUUACUGUGCAAUUAAUUUCAAAUUAAAUGCGCGCAUUAAUCAUUUUAGCAGCGAUUUCAGCAAUUUUGCAACGAGGAGGAGCUGCAGCGCGAGGGUGGAACACUCAUUAGUGCAGGCUGAGGUGGCUAACGAAACUACUCAAACCGGCAAAUGAUGACAAAAUAAUUCAUACGUGGCUCGACAAACGCCCGACUCAACACCGACAUUUCCUCUGAGGACAAACUCAUUUGCGAGAAAAUUCAUUUUUCUCUAAAACAACGACUCUCUAUUCCAUUAGUUCUUGUAACCUUCAUUGUAUCUAAACUUGAAAGUAAACAAAAAUAAAAAGUACAUCUGUA